GACAGAGGUUGCAAACGUUGUUCGGAAUUACUGGGCAUAAAGCGCACGUAGGCGGUCCGUUAAGUCAUGUGUGAAAUCCCCCGGCUCAACCGGGGAAUUGCGCCUGAUACUGGCGGGCUAGAGGUCGAUAGGGGUGAGCGGAACUCCAGGUGGAGCGGUGAGAUGCGUAGAUAUCUGGAGGAACACCGGUGGCGAAAGCGGCUCACUGGAUCGAAACUGACGCUGAGGUGCGAAAGCUAGGGUAGCAAACGGG
This 253-nucleotide ribosomal RNA is filed under the name uncultured bacterium. Its description in RNAcentral is "partial 16S ribosomal RNA". It matches the Rfam family "Bacterial small subunit ribosomal RNA", at positions 524 to 776 of the family's 1533-position model. The record is from RNAcentral.